UAGGGAAUCUUCGGCAAUGGGGGGAACCCUGACCGAGCAACGCCGCGUGAGUGAAGAAGGUUUUCGGAUCGUAAAGCUCUGUUGUUAAGGAAGAACGAGUGUGAGAAUGGAAAGUUCAUACUGUGACGGUACUUAACCAGAAAGGGACGGCUAACUACGUGCCAGCAGCCGCGGUAAUACGUAGGUCCCGAGCGUUGUCCGGAUUUAUUGGGCGUAAAGCGAGCGCAGGCGGUUAGAUAAGUCUGAAGUUAAAGGCAGUGCUCAACCAUUGUAGGCUUUGGAAACUGUUUAACUUGAGUGCAGAAGGGGAGAGUGGAAUUCCAUGUGUAGCGGUGAAAUGCGUAGAUAUAUGGAGGAACACCGGUGGCGAAAGCGGCUCUCUGGUCUGUAACUGACGCUGAGGCUCGAAAGCGUGGGGAGCGAACAGG
This 428-nucleotide ribosomal RNA is filed under the name Bacteroidota bacterium. Its description in RNAcentral is "Bacteroidetes bacterium partial 16S ribosomal RNA". It matches the Rfam family "Bacterial small subunit ribosomal RNA", at positions 355 to 776 of the family's 1533-position model. Lineage: Bacteria; Pseudomonadati; Bacteroidota. The record is from RNAcentral.